This 510-nucleotide ribosomal RNA is filed under the name uncultured bacterium. RNAcentral describes it as "bacterial SSU rRNA". It matches the Rfam family "Bacterial small subunit ribosomal RNA", at positions 29 to 516 of the family's 1533-position model. The record is from RNAcentral.
AGCGAACGUUAGCGGCGGGCCUAACACAUGCAAGUCGAACGCGAAAGGUCUUCGGACUGAUUAGAGUGGCGCACGGGUGAGUAACACGUAGGUAAUCUACCCUUUGGCGGGGGAUAACGUUCCGAAAGGAGCGCUAAUACCGCAUAAGACCACGGAGUCUCCGGACGCUGUGGGAAAAGGUGGCCUCUUCUUGAAAGCUAUCACCGGAGGAUGAGCCUGCGUCCCAUCAGCUAGUUGGUAAGGUAAUGGCUUACCAAGGCAAAGACGGGUAGCUGGUUUGAGAGAAUGAUCAGCCACACUGGCACUGGAACACGGGCCAGACUCCUACGGGAGGCAGCAAUGAGGAAUAUUGGGCAAUGGGCGAAAGCCUGACCCAGCCACGCCGCGUGAGUGAUGAAGGCCCUCGGGUCGUAAAGCUCUGUGGAGAGGGACGAAAAACCUGGGGUCUAAUAGGCCCCGGACUUGACGGUACCUCUUUAGCAAGCACCGGCUAACUCUGUGCCAGCAGCC